Molecule: ribosomal RNA, 464 nt
Filed under: uncultured bacterium
Lineage: Bacteria
Description: partial 16S ribosomal RNA
Rfam family: Bacterial small subunit ribosomal RNA
Source: RNAcentral
CUACGGGCGGCUCCAGUGGGGAAUAUUGCACAAUGAGCGAAAGCUUGAUGCAGCCAUACCGCGUGUGUGAAGAAGGCCCGAGGGUUGUAAAGCACUUUCAAUUGGGAGGAAGGUUAAGUAGUUAAUACCUGCUUAAUUUGACGUUACCUUUAGAAGAAGCACCGGCUAAGUCUGUGCCAGCAGCCGCGGUAAUACAGAGGGUGCAAGCGUUAUUCGGAAUUACUGGGCGUAAAGCGCGCGUAGGCGGAUUAUUAAGUCAGUUGUGAAAGCCCUGGGCUCAACCUGGGAACUGCAUCUGAUACUGGUAGUCUAGAGUUUAAGAGAGGGAAGUGGAAUUCCAGGUGUAGCAGUGAAAUGCGUAGAUAUCUGGAGGAACAUCAGUGGCGAAGGCGACUUCCUGGCUUAAAACUGACGCUGAGGUGCGAAAGCGUGGGUAGCGAACGGGAUUAGAUACCCCCGUAGUC